Molecule: ribosomal RNA, 855 nt
Filed under: uncultured bacterium
Lineage: Bacteria
Description: bacterial SSU rRNA
Rfam family: Bacterial small subunit ribosomal RNA
Source: RNAcentral
UACGGCAUUAUCCGAGCGUUAUCCGGAUUUAUUGGGUUUAAAGGGUGCGUAGGCGGGUUGAUAAGUCAGUGGUGAAAGGUUUGCGCUCAACGUAGACAUUGCCAUUGAAACUGUCAGUCUUGAGUACAAAUGAGGUAGGCGGAAUGUGUUGUGUAGCGGUGAAAUGCAUAGAUAUGACACAGAACACCAAUUGCGAAGGCAGCUUACUGGGAUGUAACUGACGCUGAGGCACGAAAGCGUGGGGAUCAAACAGGAUUAGAUACCCUGGUAGUCCACGCAGUAAACGAUGAUUACUAGCUGUUAGCGAUAGAAUGUUAGUGGCUAAGCGAAAGCGAUAAGUAAUCCACCUGGGGAGUACGACCGCAAGGUUGAAACUCAAAGGAAUUGACGGGGGCCCGCACAAGCGGAGGAACAUGUGGUUUAAUUCGAUGAUACGCGAGGAACCUUACCCGGGCUUGAAAUGCAGAGGAAUGACGAGGAAACUUGUCCGCCAGCAAUGGUCUCUGUGUAGGUGCUGCAUGGUUGUCGUCAGCUCGUGCCGUGAGGUGUCGGCUUAAGUGCCAUAACGAGCGCAACCCUUAUUGAUAGUUACUAACAGGUUAAGCUGAGGACUCUAUUGAGACUGCCACCGUAAGGUGAGAGGAAGGUGGGGAUGACGUCAAAUCAGCACGGCCCUUACGUCCGGGGCGACACACGUGUUACAAUGGGGGGUACAGAGGGGAGCUACUUAGCGAUAAGAUGCGAAUCUCGAAAGCCUCUCGUAGUUCGGAUCGGAGUCUGCAACUCGACUCCGUGAAGCUGGAUUCGCUAGUAAUCGCGCAUCAGCCAUGGCGCGGUGAAUACGUUCCCGGGCCU